GACGAACGCUGGCGGCGUGCUUAACACAUGCAAGUCGAACGAAGAGCGAUGGAAGCUUGCUUCUAUCAAUCUUAGUGGCGAACGGGUGAGUAACGCGUAAUCAACCUGCCCUUCAGAGGGGGACAACAGUUGGAAACGACUGCUAAUACCGCAUACGAUCUAAUCUCGGCAUCGAGGAUAGAUGAAAGGUGGCCUCUACAUGUAAGCUAUCACUGAAGGAGGGGAUUGCGUCUGAUUAGCUAGUUGGAGGGGUAACGGCCCACCAAGGCGAUGAUCAGUAGCCGGGCUGAGAGGAUGAACGGCCGCGUUGGGACUGAGACACGGCCCAGACUCCUACGGGAGGGAGCAGUGGGGAAUCUUCCGCAAUGGACGAAAGUCUGACGGAGCAACGCCGCGUGAGUGAUGACGGCCUUCGGGUUGUAAAGCUCUGUUAAUCGGGACGAAAGGCCUUCUUGCGAAUAGUGAGAAGGAUUGACGGUACCGGAAUAGAAAGCCACGGCUAACUACGUG
Molecule: ribosomal RNA, 510 nt
Filed under: uncultured bacterium
Lineage: Bacteria
Description: partial 16S ribosomal RNA
Rfam family: Bacterial small subunit ribosomal RNA
Source: RNAcentral